RNAcentral lists this ribosomal RNA (497 nucleotides) under uncultured bacterium. Its description in RNAcentral is "partial 16S ribosomal RNA". It matches the Rfam family "Bacterial small subunit ribosomal RNA", at positions 28 to 507 of the family's 1533-position model. The record is from RNAcentral.
GAUGAACACUGGCGGCGUGCCUAAUACAUGCAAGUCGAGCGAACAGACGAGGAGCUUGCUCCUCUGACGUUAGCGGCGGACGGGUGAGUAACACGUGGAUAACCUACCUAUAAGACUGGGAUAACUUUGGGAAACCGGAGCUAAUACCGGAUAAUAUAUUGAACCGCAUGGUUCAAUAGUGAAAGACGGUUUUGCUGUCACUUAUAGAUGGAUCCGCGCCGCAUUAGCUAGUUGGUAAGGUAACGGCUUACCAAGGCGACGAUGCGUAGCCGACCUGAGAGGGUGAUCGGCCACACUGGAACUGAGACACGGUCCAGACUCCUACGGGAGGCAGCAGUAGGGAAUCUUCCGCAAUGGGCGAAAGCCUGACGGAGCAACGCCGCGUGAGUGAUGAAGGUCUUCGGAUCGUAAAACUCUGUUAUUAGGGAAGAACAAAUGUGUAAGUAACUAUGCACGUCUUGACGGUACCUAAUCAGAAAGCCACGGCUAACUACGUG